This 282-nucleotide unclassified non-coding RNA is filed under the name Hevea brasiliensis (rubber tree). The record is from RNAcentral. Lineage: Eukaryota; Viridiplantae; Streptophyta; Magnoliopsida; Malpighiales; Euphorbiaceae.
GAGACAUAGAAGUAAACCUUCCAGUUGUCCGACGACCCAUGGCCGGAAACAACAUCAAGAAUCCGGGAGCCAGCUUGUUUUGCUUGUUCAAUCCCUUGAGCCGUCAAAGGGAUUUUGUAAUCUGGGGUUACGCCGUAUGCUGCAUCGUCCUUGUUCCCUUGGCUCUCGCCGUGACGGACCAAGAUUAUACGCUUUGGUAGGUGGUACUUUUGUGUUGGAACGUCUGUGCUUUCAGUUGUGCUGUUUAUCAUGGUUCGUCUUCCUUUGAUUGUUUUGUAAAAG